UUUGGGAGGCUGAGGCAGGUGUAUCUAUUGAGCUCAGGAGUUCAGGAUCAGCCUGGGCAACAAAGUGAGACCUCCGUCUCUAGAAA
Molecule: microRNA precursor, 86 nt
Filed under: Cebus imitator (Panamanian white-faced capuchin)
Lineage: Eukaryota; Metazoa; Chordata; Mammalia; Primates; Cebidae
Description: miRNA (ENSCCAG00000011107.1)
Source: RNAcentral